This 29-nucleotide non-coding RNA is filed under the name Homo sapiens (human). The record is from RNAcentral. Lineage: Eukaryota; Metazoa; Chordata; Mammalia; Primates; Hominidae.
GCCCUUUUGGAGUGACGUGCUGAAAGAUG